GACGAACGCUGGCGGCGUGCUUAACACAUGCAAGUCGAACGGAAAGGCCCUGCUUUUGUGGGGUGCUCGAGUGGCGAACGGGUGAGUAACACGUGAGUAACCUGCCCUUGACUUUGGGAUAACUUCAGGAAGCUGGGGCUAAUACCGGAUAGGAGCUCCUGCUGCAUGGUGGGGGUUGGAAAGUUUCGGCGGUUGGGGAUGGACUCGCGGCUUAUCAGCUUGUUGGCGGGGUAGUGGCUUACCAAGGCUUUGACGGGUAGCCGGCCUGAGAGGGUGACCGGCCACAUUGGGACUGAGAUACGGCCCAGACUCCUACGGGAGGCAGCAGUGGGGAAUAUUGCACAAUGGGCGGAAGCCUGAUGCAGCAACGCCGCGUGCGGGAUGACGGCCUUCGGGUUGUAAACCGCUUUCGCCUGUGACGAAGCGUGAGUGACGGUAAUGGGUAAAGAAGCACCGGCUAACUACGUG
RNAcentral lists this ribosomal RNA (468 nucleotides) under uncultured bacterium. Its description in RNAcentral is "partial 16S ribosomal RNA". It matches the Rfam family "Bacterial small subunit ribosomal RNA", at positions 28 to 507 of the family's 1533-position model. The record is from RNAcentral.